CCUGGUGACCAUGGUGGAGGUGGCAUACCCGUUCCCUUUCCGAACACGGAAGUCAAGCCCUCUAACGCCGAUGAUACUGCCCCCCUGAGGGGCGGGAAAGUAGGAAGUCGCCGGGC
RNAcentral lists this ribosomal RNA (116 nucleotides) under Treponema sp. The record is from RNAcentral. Lineage: Bacteria; Pseudomonadati; Spirochaetota; Spirochaetia; Treponematales; Treponemataceae.